AUUAAUAAAAUUAAGUUUAAGUGAAUAUGAAAAGUUAAGCAUAUCUAAGGCUUCAUUUGGGAUUACAGGGAGAUUGCAUUACGUGUGGUGAGAAAACGACAAUGAAAAAAUAUCCUAUUUGUUUUCGUACGUAAUAUUGCGUUCCGUAUAUUGCGAUUAGUCGGUUACGAAAUAUUUUCUGCGAUCCAUCGAAAAACGCAGAAUAUAUUUCUAUAUACUUUUUCUCAACUCCAUUCUAUCUAAUGGCAUUAGAUAGACUUCAAUAUCAAACUAAGCCUAAAUAAACAUAAAUGUUUAAAUUUUAUAUAUAAUGUUUGACCGGAGUAUCAACCCCAACCCCGGGGAGUGAAAUUGUUAGAUAUCAUUGACAUCAUGAUUACCCAACUAACUCAUCAAUUAUAUUUUAAUAUAACAUAAUUUUUUUUAUUUUACAUUAUCUAUUUUUUAAAAUACUUAGAAAUUUUAAUUAUAUUUUA
This 476-nucleotide long non-coding RNA is filed under the name Ananas comosus (pineapple). RNAcentral describes it as "long non-coding RNA (ACOM_LNC006811)". The record is from RNAcentral. Lineage: Eukaryota; Viridiplantae; Streptophyta; Magnoliopsida; Poales; Bromeliaceae.